UGAGCAAUCUGCCCUUCACAUCGGAAUAACCAUUGGAAACGAUGGCUAAUACCGAAUAUGACUUCGGAUCGCAUGAUCUGAAGUGGAAAGCUCCGGCGGUGAAGGAUGAGCUCGCGGCCUAUCAGCUUGUUGGUGAGGUAAUAGCUCACCAAGGCGAUGACGGGUAGCCGGCCUGAGAGGGUGACCGGCCACACUGGGACUGAGACACCGGCAGUA
Molecule: ribosomal RNA, 216 nt
Filed under: uncultured bacterium
Lineage: Bacteria
Description: partial 16S ribosomal RNA
Rfam family: Bacterial small subunit ribosomal RNA
Source: RNAcentral